AGUGAACGCUGGCGGCAGGCCUAACACAUGCAAGUCGAGCGGCAGCGGGUCCCCGCGAGGGGAGUGCCGGCGAGCGGCGGACGGGUGAGGAACACAUCGGAAUCUGCCUGGUUGUGGGGAUAACGUAGGGAAACUUACGCUAAUACCGCAUGCGACCCUGAGUCGACGGACUGGGGUGAAAGUGAGGGACCUUCGGGCCUCACGCGACCAGAUGAGCCGAUGUCGGAUUAGCUAGUUGGCGGGGUAACGGCCGCCAAGGCGACGAUCCGUAGCUGGUCUGAGAGGAUGAUCAGCCACACUGGGACUGAGACACGGCCCAGACUCCUACGGGAGGCAGCAGUGGGAAUUUUUCGCAAU
RNAcentral lists this ribosomal RNA (357 nucleotides) under uncultured bacterium. Its description in RNAcentral is "partial 16S ribosomal RNA". It matches the Rfam family "Bacterial small subunit ribosomal RNA", at positions 30 to 372 of the family's 1533-position model. The record is from RNAcentral.